AAAAAAUUUAUACAUUUUGUUAAUUUAUCUCUUUAUCGAACUUAGGUCGUACUUGAUAAAGGCUUAACGAAUGUUAGGCCUAAGACAAGUGGACUUACAGAU
Molecule: long non-coding RNA, 102 nt
Organism: Limulus polyphemus (Atlantic horseshoe crab)
Lineage: Eukaryota; Metazoa; Arthropoda; Merostomata; Xiphosura; Limulidae
Exons: 3
Source: RefSeq, a predicted model, not a curated record